GAGAGCUUGCUCUCUUGGCGGCGAGUGGCGGACGGGUGAGUAAUAUAUCGGAACGUGCCCAGUAGCGGGGGAUAACUACUCGAAAGAGUGGCUAAUACCGCAUACGCCCUACGGGGGAAAGGGGGGGAUCGCAAGACCUCUCACUAUUGGAGCGGCCGAUAUCGGAUUAGCUAGUUGGUGGGGUAAAGGCUCACCAAGGCAACGAUCCGUAGCUGGUUUGAGAGGACGACCAGCCACACUGGGACUGAGACACGGCCCAGACUCCUACGGGAGGCAGCAGUGGGGAAUUUUGGACAAUGGGGGAAACCCUGAUCCAGCCAUCCCGCGUGUAUGAUGAAGGCCUUCGGGUUGUAAAGUACUUUUGGCAGAGAAGAAAAGGUAUCCCCUAAUACGGGAUACUGCUGACGGUAUCUGCAGAAUAAGCACCGGCUAACUACGUGCCAGCAGCCGCGGUAAUACGUAGGGUGCAAGCGUUAAUCGGAAUUACUGGGCGUAAAGCGUGUGUAGGCGGUUCGGAAAGAAAGAUGUGAAAUCCCAGGGCUCAACCUUGGAACUGCAUUUUUAACUGCCGAGCUAGAGUAUGUCAGAGGGGGGUAGAAUUCCACGUGUAGCAGUGAAAU
Molecule: ribosomal RNA, 620 nt
Filed under: Alcaligenes phenolicus
Lineage: Bacteria; Pseudomonadati; Pseudomonadota; Betaproteobacteria; Burkholderiales; Alcaligenaceae
Description: bacterial SSU rRNA
Rfam family: Bacterial small subunit ribosomal RNA
Source: RNAcentral